CCCUUAGAUGUUCUGAACCGCACGCGUGUUACACUGAUGCAUUCAACGAGCUUUACCUUGGCCGAGAGGCCUGGGAAAUCUUUUUAGCAUGCAUCGUGAUAGGGAUUGAUUAUUGCAAUUAUUAAUCAUGAACGAGGAAUUCCUAGUAAACGCAUUUCAUCAAAAUGCAUUGAUUACGUCCCUGCCCUUUGUACACACCGCCCGUCGCACCUACCGAUUGGGUGGUCCGGUGAAGUCUCGAGAUUGUGGCAAUCUCCUUUAUUGGAGUUUGACUGCGAGAACUUGCCUAAACCUUAUCACUUAGAGGAAGGUGAAGUCGUAACA
RNAcentral lists this ribosomal RNA (324 nucleotides) under uncultured eukaryote. RNAcentral describes it as "partial 18S ribosomal RNA". It matches the Rfam family "Eukaryotic small subunit ribosomal RNA", at positions 1470 to 1796 of the family's 1831-position model. The record is from RNAcentral.